Molecule: small nucleolar RNA, 101 nt
Organism: Ochotona princeps (American pika)
Lineage: Eukaryota; Metazoa; Chordata; Mammalia; Lagomorpha; Ochotonidae
Source: Ensembl
AUCCUUUGUGGUUCGUAAGUGUGCUGAUUGGGUUGACAUAGUUGUGUGACAUGGGCCUCCCUCCAAAACUUGCUACAACAUUGGCAAUUACCCUUCUGAUA